This is a long non-coding RNA of Tachysurus fulvidraco (yellow catfish), 814 nucleotides long. RefSeq lists it as uncharacterized. The transcript has 2 exons. NCBI's taxonomy places the organism in Eukaryota, Metazoa, Chordata, Actinopteri, Siluriformes, Bagridae. The record is from RefSeq and is a predicted model, not a curated record.
GAAAUGCUUUGGCCCACAAGAGUUCCUGUCUUAAUAGGUACCAUAUGAGCAGAGAGCAGCCUGUGGGCUGCGGUAGAUUUAUCUGUCUGGGAGAGAGCAGAAGAUGCUCAGGUUUGAGAGAACCUCUGCUGACCUCUUUUCAUGAAUGCUCACUCCCACUAUUAUUGGAGGUAGUGCAGAGGAGGGCGGAAUGGAGAUUUACAGAGUGGUGACAGUCUCGGACCUGUCUAAAGCCUCCAGCUUGAAGCUACAGCUUGAAACGGCUUCCAGAACGUAAGGGAGCAAUUUCAUUAAAUCCCUCUUAUUUAUAGGAAUCAUAUACUCGUUGGAGAUAGUAUUUCAACAGAUGUAUGUGCUUUGCACAACUGACCCAAAUUACUAUUCUCCACACAGCUCUUUAAGAUAAAGAAUUAUAGUGAAAAGAAACAGGAACUACGUUUUUUCUCUCCACAUUGUAUGGCUAAAUGAUGCAGGGAAUCUUGACUUGGUGUCAUAGGUUAACCUCUACUAACCCUGUCAAGAGGCAACGGCGUGGAGGCGUUCAUUCCGUCACAUGUGGCUUCUUAAAUGCACUGCAUUGUUUGUAUACAGUGUACAUUCAGAAUGCUCAGAGGAAUACAGAGGUGGUGAAUGAGCUUUAGUGUCUCUGACCUUGGCCAAACCUCCUGCACAGAUGGAAAAGUUCAGUGUCAAGUCUACGGGCAUUAAGAUUUGAAUCCCUCUUUUUCAUUGUGGUAAUUUUCUCUGUGAUUUCUGUUCAUCUCUUGCUGCAGGGUCAAGCUCUGAUUUCUUUAAAUAAAAUGUAAAAACAUCA